RNA transcript from Myotis myotis, 2116 nucleotides. It is a transcript of the gene named paired immunoglobulin-like type 2 receptor beta, with no coding region annotated. NCBI's taxonomy places the organism in Eukaryota, Metazoa, Chordata, Mammalia, Chiroptera, Vespertilionidae. The transcript has 5 exons. The record is from RefSeq and is a predicted model, not a curated record.
UCAUGGCUCUUGGUCACUGACCACAGGGGAAGCUCUUUGGCAAUAUCAGAAAAGAAGAAGCCAGAUUGUAAACGGAAGUGCUGCCCAUCCUGGGCAGGCAUGUUUGGGGAGGGCUCCCACCUCCCAAGUCCUCGGAAGGAGCCUGGUCCUGCCUCUCCGGGUGGUCAGAUUAGCCUGAGGCAGCCCCUCCACAGAGCCUCCCCUCUGGCCUAGAGGCUCUGCUUGUUUUCUCAUCCUCCAAGGAGAGCGAGGCGAUGGGUCUGCCCCUGCUGCUGCUCCUGCUGCUGCCCCUGCUGCCGCCAGCAGCUCUGCAGGCUGGUGGCUCAGCAGAAUGCACUUCAAACCUUAAUUAUGAAGUCCACCAACCAGAGCACCUCUCAGCCCCUGAGGGUGGCUCCAUCGACAUCCCCUUCUCCUUCUGUUACCCCUGGGAGUUAGCCCGUCAUCCCAACGUGCGUAUAUCCUGGAGAUGGAAACAGUACCAUGGAGAGUUCAUCUACAGCACAACCCCGCCGUUCACCACAACCUCACCGUUCAUCCAUAAGGAUUUUAAAAACCGCCUCUCCCUGAACUGGACAAAGGGCCAGAGGAACGGCUCCCUCCGGAUCUCCAACCUGCGGAGAGAGGAUGGACGUAGCUACUUCUGCCGAGUCCAGUUGACCACACGGAACGAAGGCGAGAAGGUGUGGCAGUCCAUCACAGGGACCAAACUCAUCAUCACCAGAGCCACCAAACCCACCAACACCACCACCACAGAUGGCCUCAGUAUCUCGGGGAACAAAGGGAGAUCAGGGUUUUGGCCCUUGAGUAAGGAAGUUGUGGUAAGCAUGGCAGUGGCCAGCACUGUGCUCAAAAUUGCAAUUUUGGGACUGAUGGUCUACCUCAGGUGGAAGAGAAGCAAAGAGUUUUCAUUCCCAGUGAUUAAAAAAUAUAAUGUCCAGAGUGGAGUGGAGGUCACUGGAGUUGGGGGAUGGGUGAGUCCAGUGCCUGAGAGGAUUGUCCCUGUGGAUGAUGAGACCUCACAGGAAGGUGGGCAGUGGUGGAGAGGAUGUAUGAGAACCGGGGCCAAAUGCUUGGGAAUUGCUGUGGAGAGACUUGAGAAGGAGGUGGAGGGGGAGAGUGCAGGGAGGUGGGGAGGAACAACAGAGUCCUCGGUGGAAGAGAGGAACAGGCUGCAGUGUAAACACUGAUCCCAGCCCUGAGGUUCAGAGGUAGGAGAGAGCAACAGCCACCACUCAAAGGAAAGCAGAAGAAGCUGGUUUGUCACAGCAGGAGGAGCGAUGGUGCCUGAGGCGGGGAAGGGGAGGGGAGGGAAGGUGGGCCAGGCUCAGCAGUGGAAGGAGAAGGUUGAGGGAUUGCAAGGAGUUGAAGGAAAGAGGAAGGAAGCAGAGGGAAAGUUAGGGAGCGAGGGCAGGGUGAAGGGGGCACAGGGUGCAGAGAAGAGCUGCUCUCCUGACUUGGUGUUGAGGACAAAAGCAGGAGAGGUGUGGGCAGCCUCAGGAUGCCAGCUGGUGCCACUCUGAGUCCUAGGCCCUUCCAACAGGAGUUUCAGCAGAGCUGCUUUGCUGCCCUGGUUUAUCCAAGGAUGGUCUCAGAGUAGGAUGAAGCAGAAAAGCAGGAGGAGAUGCUGUUCAUGGAAGGCACACUGACAUGCUGUUGGUUCCUCUACAGGUCUAUGAACUAAACCAGAGCCCCCGCUAGGUUGAUGGCAUCCUCUAUGCCUCCCUUACCCUCUCCAACUCAACCUCACCCUCACCGACAGCACCUCCUAGCCACCUUCUCUACGAGAGCCCCCAGGAAGAGACCCUAUACUCUAUGUUACAGACCUAAGGAGUGUGACUGAGUGAUGACCUCCUUAGAGUAAGCUGCACAGAAGGAUCACUACUUCCCAUAACAAUCCCAGCCAGACACCGAUGACUCAGAAGCCAGCAGGGGUCAAAGACCACCAAGGACCUAAGAAAAAUAGCCAUCUGCUCCAGUUCCCUCUUCGUCUCGUUCCCUUGCCCACAAAAAUAAAAGUACCUGUAGGAUUUGCCUGCAUGCAUCUAGGAAAAAAAUUGAUGUCACCUUCAACUUCUGUCCUUCUUGCCAAAAAUAAACUACAAUACAUAGCUCA